UGCGAUUUAGUGUAAUUGGUUAACAUCAUUGACUCAUGAUCAGUGGAUUAAGGUUCAAGUCCUUUUGUCGCAC
This 73-nucleotide transfer RNA is filed under the name Schizosaccharomyces cryophilus. RNAcentral describes it as "tRNA-Met". It matches the Rfam family "tRNA". From Rfam's summary of the family: Transfer RNA (tRNA) molecules are approximately 80 nucleotides in length. Their secondary structure includes four short double-helical elements and three loops (D, anti-codon, and T loops). Further hydrogen bonds mediate the characteristic L-shaped molecular structure. tRNAs have two regions of fundamental functional importance: the anti-codon, which is responsible for specific mRNA codon recognition, and the 3' end, to which the tRNAs corresponding amino acid is attached (by aminoacyl-tRNA synthetases). tRNAs cope with the degeneracy of the genetic code in two manners: having more than one tRNA (with a specific anti-codon) for a particular amino acid; and 'wobble' base-pairing, i.e. permitting non-standard base-pairing at the 3rd anti-codon position. The record is from RNAcentral. Lineage: Eukaryota; Fungi; Ascomycota; Schizosaccharomycetes; Schizosaccharomycetales; Schizosaccharomycetaceae.